Molecule: ribosomal RNA, 253 nt
Filed under: uncultured bacterium
Lineage: Bacteria
Description: partial 16S ribosomal RNA
Rfam family: Bacterial small subunit ribosomal RNA
Source: RNAcentral
UACGGGGGGGGCAAGCGUUGUUCGGAAUUACUGGGCGUAAAGGGCGCGUAGGCUGUGCUGUAAGUCAGGCGUGAAAGCCCCGGGCUCAACCUGGGAAUUGCGCUUGAUACUGCGGCGCUGGAAGGUGGGAGAGGAUGGCGGAAUUCCCAGUGUAGAGGUGAAAUUCGUAGAUAUUGGGAAGAACACCGGUGGCGAAGGCGGCCAUCUGGCCCAUUUUUGACGCUGAGGCGCGAAAGCGUGGGGAGCAAACAGG